RNAcentral lists this non-coding RNA (89 nucleotides) under Actinomycetota bacterium. Its description in RNAcentral is "Actinobacteria bacterium c-di-GMP sequence". It matches the Rfam family "c-di-GMP-I riboswitch aptamer". From Rfam's summary of the family: GEMM was predicted in a large-scale screen for bacterial structured RNA regulatory elements. Genes associated with GEMM are involved in a diverse array of functions, including chemotaxis regulation, signal transduction, secretion and chitin. The record is from RNAcentral. Lineage: Bacteria; Bacillati; Actinomycetota.
CGCUGCUCAGAGCAAAACCGUCGAAAGGCGGUGACGCAGAGCCACGGGGCUAACGCGGUUCGAUCCGCUAUGCUCGCCGGGCCGCCAGC